This is a long non-coding RNA of Etheostoma spectabile (orangethroat darter), 258 nucleotides long. RefSeq lists it as uncharacterized. The record is from RefSeq and is a predicted model, not a curated record. NCBI's taxonomy places the organism in Eukaryota, Metazoa, Chordata, Actinopteri, Perciformes, Percidae. The transcript is spliced from 3 exons.
UGGACACGUUGGUAUUGUUGCUCUUUUACCUGGUUCUCUCUAUCGCUACAGUGUAUAACUGUCUCAUUCUUAUUUGGUGUGUGUAUACAAAAAAAGGCUUUUCUGAGCUUUCUCUAUAUAAAUACCUUAUAUGUUCACUAAUUAGUAUAAAACAAGACACCUGCUUAGGCUUUCAGCUAAAAUUACAAUCAGCAGAGUUUGAUAAGCACCAGACUGAAAUCCAUUGUGUUUUGAAGGCGCGUUGUGUUUAAAGUGAUG